UUCUACAAGGAUGAGAAAAUUUUUAUCAAUAUUAUUACAGUUAUCCCUGUCUUAAUAAAUCAUGUCGAGAUUAAAUAAUCUGAAGUUUUG
Molecule: small nucleolar RNA, 90 nt
Filed under: Candida albicans
Lineage: Eukaryota; Fungi; Ascomycota; Pichiomycetes; Serinales; Debaryomycetaceae
Also listed under: 1 other name
Description: Small nucleolar RNA R38
Rfam family: Small nucleolar RNA R38
About the family: snoR38 is a C/D box small nucleolar RNA conserved across yeast, human, Arabidopsis and rice. It is encoded in the intron of elongation factor-1 gamma in both pombe and cerevisiae. snoR38 guides the methylation of 2'-O-ribose sites in 28S rRNA.
Source: Rfam by way of RNAcentral